UGAGGAUUAUAAUUAACAUGAAUGUUUGU
Molecule: non-coding RNA, 29 nt
Filed under: Rattus norvegicus (Norway rat)
Lineage: Eukaryota; Metazoa; Chordata; Mammalia; Rodentia; Muridae
Source: RNAcentral